RNAcentral lists this transfer RNA (74 nucleotides) under Bifidobacterium animalis subsp. animalis. RNAcentral describes it as "tRNA-Pro". Lineage: Bacteria; Bacillati; Actinomycetota; Actinomycetes; Bifidobacteriales; Bifidobacteriaceae. The record is from RNAcentral.
UCGGGCUGGCGAGAUUUGAACUCGCGGCCUCUUCGUCCCGAACGAAGCGCGCUACCAAGCUGCGCCACAGCCCG